RNAcentral lists this unclassified non-coding RNA (367 nucleotides) under soil metagenome. Its description in RNAcentral is "partial contains 5.8S ribosomal RNA, internal transcribed spacer 2, and large subunit ribosomal RNA". The stretch from base 1 to 120 matches the Rfam family "5.8S ribosomal RNA", at positions 35 to 154 of the family's 154-position model. The record is from RNAcentral.
GAUGAAGAACGUAGUGAAAUGCGAUAAGUAAUGUGAAUUGCAGAAUUCCGUGAAUCAUCGAAUCUUUGAACGCACAUUGCGCCCUCUGGUAUUCCGGGGGGCAUGCCUGUCCGAGCGUCAUUGCAAACCCUCAAGCCCGGCUUGCGUGAUGGGUCGCAUCGUCCCCGAAGGCCCUCCGGGGCGGGUGGGACGGGCCCGAAAGGCAGCGGCGGCGUCGCGGUCAUCCGAUCAGCCCAAGCGUAUGGGGACAUCCGUCACACGCUAGGGGCGCGGACCGACGCCCGCCUGGAACGUCACACUUCUCAAGGUUUGACCUCGGAUCAGGUAGGGAUACCCGCUGAACUUAAGCAUAUCAAUAAGCGGAGGA